GAUGAAGAACGUAGCGAAAUGCGAUAAGUAAUGUGGAUUGCAGAAUUCAGUGAAUCAUCGAAUCUUUGAACGCAACUUGCGCUCUCUGGUAUUCCGGAGAGCAUGCCUGUUUGAGUAUCAUGAAAUCUCAACCAUUAGGGUUUCUUAAUGGCUUGGAAUUGGGUGUUGCCAGUCGCCUGGCUCGCCUUAAAAGAGUUAGCGUGUUUAACUUGUCUAUCUGGCGUAAUAAGUUUCGCUGGUGUCGGCUUGAGAAGUACGCUUCUAAUCGUCUUCGGACAAUUCUUGAACUCUGGUCUCAAAUCAGGUAGGGCUACCCGCUGAACUUAAGCAUAUCAAUAAGCGGAGGA
RNAcentral lists this unclassified non-coding RNA (347 nucleotides) under soil metagenome. RNAcentral's name for it is "partial contains 5.8S ribosomal RNA, internal transcribed spacer 2, and large subunit ribosomal RNA". The stretch from base 1 to 120 matches the Rfam family "5.8S ribosomal RNA", at positions 35 to 154 of the family's 154-position model. The record is from RNAcentral.